This 1033-nucleotide long non-coding RNA is filed under the name Triticum aestivum (bread wheat). Its description in RNAcentral is "long non-coding RNA (TAES_LNC007227)". The record is from RNAcentral. Lineage: Eukaryota; Viridiplantae; Streptophyta; Magnoliopsida; Poales; Poaceae.
CAGAUGUUGCUCAUCGGUGACUUCAUCACGGCACAAUCAAACUGCGGAGGUUUUAUUAAAGUGGCAACUAGAACGUCCAAGUAGAGAACGGUGAAAGAGAUUUCAAAACUUUCCUGGUCAAAAUGCUCAUUACUGAAUUACAAAUGAUCCUGCACGGUACUAGUUACUCAACAAGGCUUCCCAAUAUGUCCGGCUAAACUAAAGCACCGAUUCCAAGAGUGGCAACGCUCUAUUGAUCCUGACGAACAGAAUGCAAUCAAGCAGCCUUGGGCUUGGGCUGAAGUCUCUUCAGUUGUGAGUACAGGAAAACUCCCGCAAGAGCGAUCGCGGUUCCUACAGACAAGACAUUUCAAAUAUGUAUAGAGGAUGUGAUACGAUCGAUAGAACGCACAUGAAAAACAGGUGCUUACCGAUAGAGUUGAUUGGAGACACAGGAGUCUUGAAGAACAGAACAGAUGUAACAAUGACCACCACACGCUUGACGCAGUUACCUACCGAAUGGGUAACUGGUGACACCCUUGCGAGGAUCAUGUAUGACACCUGCGAUAAAUCAGAAGACAAGUAAGAAUAUUUCGAGUAAGUACAGAAGUGCCUAGGCUUCUGAACGCAUGUGCUGGGCAUGUGCUACACAUAUGCAUAUACUGAUACAUGACUUGGCAUAAGUUUCAAACUAUUCAAAACCAGAAACAAAUUUAUUGAUCAAAGUAACAAAGACAUCCAAAGAUUCUAACAAAACGAACCAUCACACAACAGAAAACUGGAUAGAUGGCUGACCUGUUGGUAUGCAUGGAAACAGAAUGCGGCAAUCAAAGACCUUGUGUACACUUGUUGUAAGUUCAGACCCUGCACAGGAAAGAACAUAGUAAGAAUUCAAACGAGACAGUGUGCUUAUAAGGUUGAGCAGACAAAUAAACAGUGGAUACUCACAGCAGACUGCAGAUAAGUAGGAGUGACCUUAACACCUUCGGUCAACAAGGUUACAGGAGCUAGAAGGAAGAAUGACAUGACUGUAAUAAUCGAGAAGAGAUUGAUG